UUCGACUUAACAUACAAGGGUGACUAAUGUGACUAAAAAGCAGAGGAAUCUGCUUCUUCUUUUUUUAAUAAUAAGAAGAAAUACUUCUAUAUUAGCAAGUAGAAAUAAAAUGUGUAGAUAGCCAACUUCUCUUCAGGCAAGAGCAUCACCAUCACUCACCUCUGCGCUGCAUCCCAAGAAUCAAGACACCAACACUUAUAGUUGGAUCUUGAUAUCUCUAACAGCUCAUUAGGCGUCAUGUUCUCGUGUGCCAUGGAUUUCCAUGGAUCAGAGCUAAUGCUAAAGCUUAGAGCCGGUGAAUUUGAUGCCCUAAUAGUCCCUUCCAUUGGGUGGUCUUGUGAGCGGAUCUUCUUAUACAACCGCAUGACAGACACUGAAUCUUGGUAAGGAUCAUGGGAACCAACUUGGAUAUCAUAUCCUAGAUAAGUCUUGGUUAGAUAUUUCAGAGAGUGGCUGACAAAAUUGGUCUUCAUCAGGGGUCGAUAUGUUGCAGUAUCUCUCCAAAGAUGAUCAG
This 514-nucleotide unclassified non-coding RNA is filed under the name Hevea brasiliensis (rubber tree). Lineage: Eukaryota; Viridiplantae; Streptophyta; Magnoliopsida; Malpighiales; Euphorbiaceae. The record is from RNAcentral.